AAAUUCAACAUCGGAAAAAGUUAUACCCAAUUUACUUUAGCAUGUUAGUCUGUCAAAUUGAGGGACUGCUGCGGCAUUUUUUAUUUCCUUAGGGGUAUUUUGAUAUUUUUCGUCAUCACAAACUUCUUCUACACGAUUUAAAUCAUCCAAAAUACUUUGUAAUCCAUUUCUUUUAUUAGUUUUAAUCUCUCAAUUCCUCUCCUUUCAAGAUCAAGAAUCAAUCUCGCACUCUGUAAUCCAUUUCUUUUAUUAGUUUUAAUCUCUCAAUUCCUCUCCUCUCUCAAGAGUAAAAUGGAAACUAGGCUUUCUUUCAAGAUCAAGAAUCAAUCUCGUAAGUCCAAGAUUUCCAAAGAACAAAUCAAGAUUCGAGUUCUACUCUUUAAACUUGUAAUCUAAGUACAUCUGUAUUGUCCCCCCUCCAUCUCAGGAUCUGAGGCACAGUCUCGGGGUCCAGUUCAGCAAUAGGUUUGAGUGCGUCGGAAGUUGCAAUUGUUCCUCUUUGUAAAUGAAUGGUGUAUAUGAUUGCAAGUUUGAAGGACUCUCGGGCCUUCAUGGUUCAGGAUCCCCGUCAUGGCCAGGGCCCCGGUUUGGAUCGUGACAGUAAUUGAUUUCUAGGACAAACUAAAUGUCCAUUUAU
This is a long non-coding RNA of Capsicum annuum, 637 nucleotides long. RefSeq lists it as uncharacterized. Lineage: Eukaryota; Viridiplantae; Streptophyta; Magnoliopsida; Solanales; Solanaceae. The record is from RefSeq and is a predicted model, not a curated record. The transcript has 3 exons.